RNAcentral lists this ribosomal RNA (252 nucleotides) under uncultured bacterium. RNAcentral's name for it is "partial 16S ribosomal RNA". It matches the Rfam family "Bacterial small subunit ribosomal RNA", at positions 524 to 776 of the family's 1533-position model. The record is from RNAcentral.
UACGGAGGAUGCGAGCGUUAUCCGGAUUUAUUGGGUUUAAAGGGUGCGCAGGCGGCACGGCAAGCCGGCGGUCAAAUCGCGGGGCUCAACCCCGCCCAGCCGUCGGAACUGCCGGGCUAAAGUGGGCGAGAAGUGCGCGGAAUGCGUGGUGUAGCGGUGAAAUGCAUAGAUAUCACGCAGAACUCCGAUUGCGAAGGCAGCGCACCGGCGCCCUACUGACGCUCAGGCACGAAAGCGUGGGUAUCGAACAGG